This is an RNA transcript of Oncorhynchus keta (chum salmon), 3707 nucleotides long. It is a transcript of the gene named heterogeneous nuclear ribonucleoprotein Q-like, with no coding region annotated. The record is from RefSeq and is a predicted model, not a curated record. The transcript is spliced from 14 exons. NCBI's taxonomy places the organism in Eukaryota, Metazoa, Chordata, Actinopteri, Salmoniformes, Salmonidae.
ACCACACACUCGCAUCUACAGUCAAGUAAGUAGCCGCCAUUUUCAUUAUCCGGACAGGAGCCUGACCUAACCUUAUGCCGGGAAUCGUAGUUUUUAAUUUUUGUAAACACCCUGAAAUCAGACAAAAUCAGCAACGUGCACAUUGGUGAACUAUCUAAUGAUUGUCUCACAUUGCUGCCGCCAAAAGGAUCAACUGCACAGACAAACGAUGGCGACCGAUCAGACAACUGAUCAUGUAAAUGGGAAUGGUACAGAGGAACCAAUAGACAUAACUGAAGUGGACAAAACUACAGCUGAGGUUAUCCAUUCAGACAAUUUCCAGACUUUAUUAGAUGCUGGUUUACCACAGAAAGUUGCAGAAAAACUAGAUGCAAUUUACAUAGCAGGCUUGGUAUCGCACAGUGACCUAGAUGAAAGGGCUAUUGAAGCAUUGAAAGAAUUUAACGAAGAAGGUGCUCUACAAGUCCUGCUUGAAUUUAAGGAAAGUGAUCUGUCACACGUGCAAAACAAAAGUGCCUUCCUCUGUGGAGUAAUGAAGACUUAUAGACAGAGGGAGAAGCAAGGAACCAAAGUUUUAGAUUCCACGAAAGGACCAGAUGAGGCGAAAAUAAAAGCUCUGCUUGAUAGAACCAUCUAUACACUUGAUGUGACAACGGGUCAGCGGAAGUAUGGAGGCCCCCCCCCAGAGUCUGUGUAUUCAGGUGCUCAACCCACUAUUGGAACAGAGAUAUUUGUUGGGAAAAUUCCUCGAGACUUGUUUGAGGAUGAGCUGGUGCCCCUCUUUGAGAAGGCGGGACCUAUCUGGGAUCUACGUCUAAUGAUGGACCCCCUGAGUGGCUUGAACAGGGGUUACGCCUUUGUCACCUUCUGCACUAAAGAGGCUGCCUCGGAGGCUGUAAACCUGUGUAAUAAUCAUGAAAUACGCCCCGGCAAACACAUUGGAGUGUGUAUAUCUGUUGCCAAUAACCGGCUGUUUGUCGGCUCCAUCCCCAAGAGUAAAACAAAAGAACAGAUUGUGGAGGAGUUUGCUAAAGUCACAGAGGGUCUUAAUGAUGUCAUACUGUACCAUCAGCCAGAUGACAAAAAGAAGAACAGAGGUUUUUGCUUUUUGGAAUACGAGGACCAUAAAACUGCUGCUCAGGCCAGACGCAGGCUAAUGAGUGGCAAGGUGAAAGUGUGGGGGAACGUGGUUACUGUGGAAUGGGCAGACCCCAUCGAGGACCCAGAUCCAGAGGUUAUGGCCAAGGUCAAAGUUUUGUUUGUCCGAAACCUUGCGAACAGUGUUACGGAAGAAAUACUUGAAAACUCCUUCGGCCAGUUUGGUAAACUGGAGCGAGUGAAGAAGCUGAAAGAUUACGCCUUCGUUCAUUUUGAUGAGAGGGACGCUGCAGUCAAGGCGUUGGCUCAAAUGAAUGGCAAAGUUCUGGAAGGAGAGCACAUUGACAUAGUUUUUGCAAAGCCCCCUGAUCAGAAGAGGAAGGAACGCAAAGCUCAGAGACAAGCAGCCAGAACAAACAUGUAUGAUGAUGAUUAUUAUUACAACUACGGCCCCCCUCAGUUGCCCCCUCCCACAAGAGGCGGCCGGGGUAGGGGAGGUUAUUCUUACCCACCCGACUAUUAUGGCUACGAUGAUUACGACGAUUAUUAUGGUUAUGAUUAUCCCAACUACCGCGGGGGAUACGACUAUGACUACGACUACUACGGCUAUGAUGACUUUCAGGCUCCCGCUAGAGGAAGAGGUGGCAGAGGUGCACGGGGGGCAUCCCCAGCCAGAGGUAGGCCAGGUGCUCCCAGGGGAAGAGGUGGCUUUUCCCCGCGUGGUGGUCCAGGAUCAAGCAGAGGAGGUGUGCAACAGAGAGGCCGCGGCGGGCAGGGAAAAGUGGUCGAGGCCGGUCCUGACCUGUCACUAUGAAGACUGAGCUGCUAUGUGGGGUUAUACUGGAAGCUGCCAAUUGAAGUGAUGUACCGCACGAGUACGCGUCCUAGAUGUUCCAACUCUGGACAGGUGAGCAUGUAUUUUAACCCGUUAACCAGUGUCUGACAAUGGGCGAGUGUUUUGCAUCGCCAGGCGCUCUAUUAUUGCUUGUGUCGUUUUGUCAACUACUGCUUAGACUGCCUACUAUUUGUCAUAAUCUUCAUAGUAUACUGCCAUAUCAAUGAUUGCUGGAAAAAAUAACUAGCCAAUGUUUGCGAUGAGAAAUUAACAUUAAAUCACUAUUUUGACUGUGUGUCUUGCUCGUGUUUGAUAUUCUUGCUGCAUUUUAACUCUGCAGCUAAAAAGAACAUGGACUUGCUAGACUGCUUAUGUUUGCAACAGACAACUGUUCCAACCGACACAGUUUGUACAAAGCAUGAUGGCUGCAUGUAACGCCACCUCCUGAAAAGAAUUACAUUAAGUCACGCUUGAGGCAUGGAAAGCAUAGUUUGAACAUGUUGACCAUAUCUUAAGUAUAGACUAAAAAAAAUGUAUGUAUGUAUAUAGUGUAGGCUACAACAUUAAGUGGAAGCAGCAGUGGAACACUGAGCAGACACUACUGUGGGCAGCAAGUUUAGUAAAAAAAUAAAUACUGCACAUGUGCAGAAAGCUCAUUAUCCACGGCAAGUGUGGUUCCAGAAAAUCCAAAACCACAGCCAUGCCAUUGUUAUUAUAAGCUUGCCACCUACCCCAUGUCUCCAAAGAAUAUGCCAUUUUAAAAUUACUAUUGAAGAUGUUGUGUUCCCAGUGGAAUGUUCAUCCCGAAAUGUAGUAAUUCCUUUUACACUUUGUCUAAGUUUGAAGUGGCUCAGAGGAGCUUGACACCAAUGUAUAUUUUGAUGAAUAAUGCAGCUUUACGAUGGAAUAGACCUAUUUAAUUCUGUUUUGAUUUUGAUUGGUUUUAAUAUAAUGUUUAGGAGGGUUUUUUAGGUUUAACCAACUGGCAUAAUGGUCAGGCAUUCCAGGAAAGUGGUUAUUUUCAGAACUUGUCUUUAAAGGGUCGGUUAAAUACCUCUGUACAGAGGAUCAAACUGCCCUGUCUACUUUUAAAGUAUGGAAACGUAAUUGAUGAAAGCAGGGCUUGUUCCAUGUAGUUUGUUUAUUAUAGGUGCUGCAUGCUCUUAUUCUAACACUGCCAACAGUCAAGCUGAGCAUGUUAAAUAAUCUCAUAUAAUGAGCGAAUGAAGGAACAAACCUUGCUUUCAUAUGGUUUGAACUGCAUUGGCUAUGUGCUUAUUCAUAUAAUGUAGUUAUAGGUUGUAUAAUAGUUUAGGAAAAUGGUACUUCUUGUAAAAGCUUGAAGGAAAGACAUGUUUUUUUCAGAAGCAUUGCAGUGUCUCUUCUUUCUGGGAUAGGAUAGUAAGUAUUUUGUAUAUGAUCCAUUCCUUUUGGUUGCCUGGAAACCCAAUGUAGCAUUAUAUGCCAUUCAACAUUGGGUUUUCAGGCAACCCAUUUGGAAAGUUGCAUACACAUUUAAGUUUAAGAGACAUCAGUCUACUUUGUGUACAUACAUUUGCCUAAUCAUGAUGUACAACAUGAAUGUCGAUCCGACAUCUAUGAGCUGCCUUAUUGUCACAUAUGUGACAAGUGUCUUGAAUCUGCAUCAUGUUGAGCAUGUAAUUUAGUAUCGGAGUUAGCUGGAUAUUAUUUGGUAUAUCCAGUUAAAAUGGGAUACUGCAUCUUAAAUAAAAUAAAAAUGUGUUUCCUGGAUUGCAUAAAGGAGACAACUUAA